This 1421-nucleotide ribosomal RNA is filed under the name Salmonella enterica subsp. enterica serovar Montevideo. RNAcentral's name for it is "partial 23S ribosomal RNA". It matches the Rfam family "Bacterial large subunit ribosomal RNA", at positions 1398 to 2802 of the family's 2925-position model. Lineage: Bacteria; Pseudomonadati; Pseudomonadota; Gammaproteobacteria; Enterobacterales; Enterobacteriaceae. The record is from RNAcentral.
GAGGCCGAAAGGCGUAGUCGAUGGGAAACGGGUUAAUAUUCCCGUACUUGGUGUUACUGCGAAGGGGGGACGGAGAAGGCUAUGUUGGCCGGGCGACGGUUGUCCCGGUUUAAGCGUGUAGGUGUGUGUUCCAGGUAAAUCCGGUUCACUUUAACACUGAGGCGUGAUGACGAGGCACUACGGUGCUGAAGCAACAAAUGCCCUGCUUCCAGGAAAAGCCUCUAAGCAUCAGGUAACAUCAAAUCGUACCCCAAACCGACACAGGUGGUCAGGUAGAGAAUACCAAGGCGCUUGAGAGAACUCGGGUGAAGGAACUAGGCAAAAUGGUGCCGUAACUUCGGGAGAAGGCACGCUGACACGUAGGUGAAGUGAUUUACUCAUGGAGCUGAAGUCAGUCGAAGAUACCAGCUGGCUGCAACUGUUUAUUAAAAACACAGCACUGUGCAAACACGAAAGUGGACGUAUACGGUGUGACGCCUGCCCGGUGCCGGAAGGUUAAUUGAUGGGGUCAGCGCAAGCGAAGCUCCUGAUCGAAGCCCCGGUAAACGGCGGCCGUAACUAUAACGGUCCUAAGGUAGCGAAAUUCCUUGUCGGGUAAGUUCCGACCUGCACGAAUGGCGUAAUGAUGGCCAGGCUGUCUCCACCCGAGACUCAGUGAAAUUGAACUCGCUGUGAAGAUGCAGUGUACCCGCGGCAAGACGGAAAGACCCCGUGAACCUUUACUAUAGCUUGACACUGAACAUUGAGCCUUGAUGUGUAGGAUAGGUGGGAGGCUUUGAAGUGUGGACGCCAGUCUGCAUGGAGCCGACCUUGAAAUACCACCCUUUAAUGUUUGAUGUUCUAACGUGGACCCGUGAUCCGGGUUGCGGACAGUGUCUGGUGGGUAGUUUGACUGGGGCGGUCUCCUCCUAAAGAGUAACGGAGGAGCACGAAGGUUGGCUAAUCCUGGUCGGACAUCAGGAGGUUAGUGCAAUGGCAUAAGCCAGCUUGACUGCGAGCGUGACGGCGCGAGCAGGUGCGAAAGCAGGUCAUAGUGAUCCGGUGGUUCUGAAUGGAAGGGCCAUCGCUCAACGGAUAAAAGGUACUCCGGGGAUAACAGGCUGAUACCGCCCAAGAGUUCAUAUCGACGGCGGUGUUUGGCACCUCGAUGUCGGCUCAUCACAUCCUGGGGCUGAAGUAGGUCCCAAGGGUAUGGCUGUUCGCCAUUUAAAGUGGUACGCGAGCUGGGUUUAGAACGUCGUGAGACAGUUCGGUCCCUAUCUGCCGUGGGCGCUGGAGAACUGAGGGGGGCUGCUCCUAGUACGAGAGGACCGGAGUGGACGCAUCACUGGUGUUCGGGUUGUCAUGCCAAUGGCACUGCCCGGUAGCUAAAUGCGGAAGAGAUAAGUGCUGAAAGCAUCUAAGCACGAAACUUGCCCCGA